GAAAGGGAAACAGCCCAGACCACCAGCUAAGGUCCCAAAAUAUAUGUUAAGUGGAAAAGGAUGUGGCGUUGCCCAGACAACUAGGAUGUUGGCUUAGAAGCAGCCAUCAUUUAAAGAGUGCGUAAUAGCUCACUAGUCGAGUGACACUGCGCCGAAAAUGUACCGGGGCUAAACAUAUUACCGAAGCUGUGGAUUGUCCUUUGGACAAUGGUAGGAGAGCGUUCUAAGGGCGUUGAAGCAUGAUCGUAAGGACAUGUGGAGCGCUUAGAAGUGAGAAUGCCGGUGUGAGUAGCGAAAGACGGGUGAGAAUCCCGUCCACCGAUUGACUAAGGUUUCCAGAGGAAGGCUCGUCCGCUCUGGGUUAGUCGGGUCCUAAGCUGAGGCCGACAGGCGUAGGCGAUGGAUAACAGGUUGAUAUUCCUGUACCACCUAUAAUCGUUUUAAUCGAUGGGGGGACGCAGUAGGAUAGGCGAAGCGUGCGAUUGGAUUGCACGUCUAAGCAGUAAGGCUGAGUAUUAGGCAAAUCCGGUACUCGUUAAGGCUGAGCUGUGAUGGGGAGGAGACAUUGUGUCUUCGAGUCGUUGAUUUCACACUGCCGAGAAAAGCCUCUAGAUAGAAAAUAGGUGCCCGUACCGCAAACCGACACAGGUAGUCAAGAUGAGAAUUCUAAGGUGAGCGAGCGAACUCUCGUUAAGGAACUCGGCAAAAUGACCCCGUAACUUCGGGAGAAGGGGUGCUCUUUAGGGUUAACGCCCAGAAGAGCCGCAGUGAAUAGGCCCAAGCGACUGUUUAUCAAAAACACAGGUCUCUGCUAAACCGUAAGGUGAUGUAUAGGGGCUGACGCCUGCCCGGUGCUGGAAGGUUAAGAGGAGUGGUUAGCUUCUGCGAAGCUACGAAUCGAAGCCCCAGUAAACGGCGGCCGUAACUAUAACGGUCCUAAGGUAGCGAAAUUCCUUGUCGGGUAAGUUCCGACCCGCACGAAAGGCGUAACGAUUUGGGCACUGUCUCAACGAGAGACUCGGUGAAAUCAUAGUACCUGUGAAGAUGCAGGUUACCCGCGACAGGACGGAAAGACCCCGUGGAGCUUUACUGUAGCCUGAUAUUGAAAUUCGGCACAG
RNAcentral lists this ribosomal RNA (1118 nucleotides) under Staphylococcus aureus. Its description in RNAcentral is "partial 23S ribosomal RNA". It matches the Rfam family "Bacterial large subunit ribosomal RNA", at positions 1013 to 2132 of the family's 2925-position model. The record is from RNAcentral. Lineage: Bacteria; Bacillati; Bacillota; Bacilli; Caryophanales; Staphylococcaceae.